CGGCUGGUCAAGAAGGGUCAGAUCAGAUACUUCUCGUUCUCACCGGACAUGUAUCGCCACGACUUCCACAGCACCGAAGUGCGCUGUCUGGCCUCCAACAGCGCCGGGGCCAUCAUCAGCCUGCCGGUGCACAUCAGGGCAGUGAUGAACCAGCCGUUUAACCUGGGGGUGCGGGACAGCUACGCCUCGCCCGGCAGUCCCGCCCUGUUCACCUGCGACGUGCCCGACUACGUCACCGACCACGUGACCGUGGCGUCGUGGG
Pollicipes pollicipes is the source of this 262-nucleotide long non-coding RNA. RefSeq lists it as uncharacterized. The transcript has 3 exons. The record is from RefSeq and is a predicted model, not a curated record. NCBI's taxonomy places the organism in Eukaryota, Metazoa, Arthropoda, Thecostraca, Pollicipedomorpha, Pollicipedidae.